GUGUGAACUUCAGCCACAUGUAUAGUAAAAUUGUAACUGUACAGAGAUUAGUAUAGUCCUUGCUCAGGAACGACAUGUACAUUUGUGAGCCAUUGCAUAUUAUU
Small nuclear RNA from Oryctolagus cuniculus (rabbit), 104 nucleotides. The record is from Ensembl. Lineage: Eukaryota; Metazoa; Chordata; Mammalia; Lagomorpha; Leporidae.